RNAcentral lists this long non-coding RNA (342 nucleotides) under Vitis vinifera (wine grape). RNAcentral describes it as "long non-coding RNA (VVIN_LNC004698)". Lineage: Eukaryota; Viridiplantae; Streptophyta; Magnoliopsida; Vitales; Vitaceae. The record is from RNAcentral.
GGGAUUGAUUUUUCGUUUUUUUUAAUUGCAUGAUUUUGGUUUUUUUGGAUUGUUUAGUUGUAUUAGAUUGAUUUUUAGUUUUGAGUUGCAUGUGAAUUAACCUUGAUUUUAUUUUAGCAUGUAAUUAGCUUCUUUUUUUUUUUUUUUCUAGUGUAUGAUUUGCAUUUUUAUCAUUAGUGAAUGAACAUUUUUUUUUUUUAAUGUGAGCUUAUGUGAGCAUGAGCAUGUGAGAGUUUGAGAUUCACUUUAAAGAAAAUCCUAUAAAAAGGAAUGGUUUCUUGCAUGUGGGAUUUUCCCAAAAAGGGUAUUUUUUUAGAAAAUGGAGAGGUCUUCAUGUUUUUU